Phthorimaea operculella (potato tuberworm) is the source of this 68-nucleotide non-coding RNA. Lineage: Eukaryota; Metazoa; Arthropoda; Insecta; Lepidoptera; Gelechiidae. The record is from the annotation of a GenBank genome assembly.
GAUGUGGUGUAGUGGUAGUGCGACUGCGUGCAACGCAGAAGACUCUAGGUUCGAUUCCCGGCAGGUCA